ACGAAGAUUAAGAAAGCUGAAAAAAGUGGUAUAAAGGUGGUGUAAAAGACUAAAAGGGUAGUGUUAAUGUGUUAUGAUUACUUUUACUAAUUUUUUCAUUAGCUUAAAGGCAUUGGACUUUGACAAUUUUAUUUCUUUUAUUUCUCUAUUUUUUUUUGUUUAUUCCUUUUUUGAACUAAUUUUUUUUUAAUUAUGCAAAUCACAUUUAGUAAGUCCAAAUAAAUCGAGAAUUUUCUGCCCAAAUUAAUAAACUGAAAAGCAUGCAUAUUAAUGCCACUAUUAAUAAAUGAAUAUGAAUCGCAUAAUUAUUUGUGCCCAAUUAAUAAACUGAAAAGCAUGCAUAUUAAUGGUACUAUGAAUAAAUGAAUGAGUCGCAUAUGCACAAAUUGAUAAACUGAAA
RNAcentral lists this long non-coding RNA (400 nucleotides) under Salvia miltiorrhiza (redroot sage). RNAcentral's name for it is "long non-coding RNA (SMIL_LNC013231)". Lineage: Eukaryota; Viridiplantae; Streptophyta; Magnoliopsida; Lamiales; Lamiaceae. The record is from RNAcentral.